UUUCUGGGCCCACGCGCUGCUGGAAGUUCCUUCUUGCUUCUGAAGCAAUUCCACAUGAUCUGGCUUGGAAAGAAGAGGAUCCAGAUUUCCACGUAAUCGGUUGAUUUCAAAUUUUAGAUUUCUUAAUUUGGUAGAAAGAUAAAAUUGAAGGAUGUGUACUGAGGUAUCAUUUUGAGAUGCUGAGCUAAACUUUUUAGCACCAGUUACACUGAAAGACGACCUUUCUAAAGAAUGCCUGCAUUGCUGGUGGGGGUGGUUACAUCAAUGCUUAGGGAUCUCUCCUGGCAGUGGUUGGGACUACAUAGGCUAUUAGUGAUUAGAUUCAACGAAGUCUAAUCCAUUUUUUUUAUUGUGUAAUUUCUGGAUGGGACAUAAAAGCCCCUGAAAAAGUGAUCUUGUGAUGUAUUGAUGAAUUUCAAUAAAGGUCCUUGCUUGUU
This is a long non-coding RNA of Sorex fumeus (smoky shrew), 437 nucleotides long. RefSeq lists it as uncharacterized. NCBI's taxonomy places the organism in Eukaryota, Metazoa, Chordata, Mammalia, Eulipotyphla, Soricidae. The transcript is spliced from 3 exons. The record is from RefSeq and is a predicted model, not a curated record.